CGACCCCAGAUCAGGCGGGACUACC
Molecule: ribosomal RNA, 25 nt
Filed under: Rheum rhabarbarum (garden rhubarb)
Lineage: Eukaryota; Viridiplantae; Streptophyta; Magnoliopsida; Caryophyllales; Polygonaceae
Also listed under: 10 other names
Description: partial 28S ribosomal RNA
Source: RNAcentral